This 297-nucleotide ribosomal RNA is filed under the name Klebsiella pneumoniae. Its description in RNAcentral is "partial 23S ribosomal RNA". It matches the Rfam family "Bacterial large subunit ribosomal RNA", at positions 685 to 981 of the family's 2925-position model. The record is from RNAcentral. Lineage: Bacteria; Pseudomonadati; Pseudomonadota; Gammaproteobacteria; Enterobacterales; Enterobacteriaceae.
GAAUAGGGCGAAUACUCGCUGGGUGUAGACCCGAAACCAAGUGAUCUAUCCAGGGCCAGGAUGAAGGUACCGUAACAGGUGCUGGAGGUCCGAACCGACUAGUGUUGCAAAACUAGCGGAUGAGCUGUGGAUAGGGGUGAAAGGCUAAACAAACUUGGAAAUAGCUGGUUCUCUCCGAAAACUAUUUAGGUAGUGCCUCAAGUAUUACCUGCGGGGGUAGAGCACUGUUUAGGCUAGGGGGUCAUGGCGACUUACCAAACCUUAGCAAACUCCGAAUACCGCAGAGUACAGCUUGGG